RNAcentral lists this ribosomal RNA (161 nucleotides) under Fritzschia lanceiflora. RNAcentral's name for it is "Comolia lanceiflora 5.8S ribosomal RNA". It matches the Rfam family "5.8S ribosomal RNA". Rfam says of the family: 5.8S ribosomal RNA (5.8S rRNA) is a component of the large subunit of the eukaryotic ribosome. Lineage: Eukaryota; Viridiplantae; Streptophyta; Magnoliopsida; Myrtales; Melastomataceae. The record is from RNAcentral.
AACGACUCUCGGCAACGGAUAUCUCGGCUCUCGCAUCGAUGAAGAACGUAGCGAAAUGCGAUACUUGGUGUGAAUUGCAGAAUCCCGCGACCAUCAAUUCUUUGAACGCAAGUUGCGCCCGAAGCCAUCCGGCCGAGGGCACGCCUGCCUGGGUGUCGUGA